RNAcentral lists this ribosomal RNA (432 nucleotides) under uncultured bacterium. RNAcentral describes it as "partial 16S ribosomal RNA". It matches the Rfam family "Bacterial small subunit ribosomal RNA", at positions 29 to 507 of the family's 1533-position model. The record is from RNAcentral.
ACGAACGCUGGCGGCAUGCCUAACCCAUGCCAGUCGAACGAGACCUUCGGGUCUAGUGGCGCACGGGUGCGUAACGCGUGGGAACCUGCCCUUAGGUUCGGAAUAACUCCCCGAAAGGGGUGCUAAUACCGGAUAAUGUCUUCGGACCAAAGGUUUAUCGCCUUUGGAUGGGCCCGCGUUGGAUUAGCUAGUUGGUAGGGUAAAAGCCUACCAAGGCGACGAUCCAUAGCUGGUCUGAGAGGAUGAUCAGCCACACUGGGACUGAGACACGGCCCAGACUCCUACGGGAGGCAGCAGUGGGGAAUAUUGGAAAAUGGGCGAAAGCCUGAUCCAGCAAUGCCGCGUGAGUGAUGAAGGCCUUAGGGUUGUAAAGCUCUUUUACCCGGGAUGAUAAUGACAGUACCGGGAGAAUAAGCGCCGGCUAACUCCGUG